RNAcentral lists this ribosomal RNA (468 nucleotides) under uncultured bacterium. RNAcentral's name for it is "partial 16S ribosomal RNA". It matches the Rfam family "Bacterial small subunit ribosomal RNA", at positions 28 to 507 of the family's 1533-position model. The record is from RNAcentral.
GACGAACGCUGGCGGCGUGCUUAACACAUGCAAGUCGAACGGAAAGGCCCUGCCUUUGUGGGGUGCUCGAGUGGCGAACGGGUGAGUAACACGUGAGUAACCUGCCCUUGACUUUGGGAUAACUUCAGGAAACUGGGGCUAAUACCGGAUAGGAGCUCCUGCUGCAGGGAGGGGGUUGGAAAGUUUCGGCGGGUGUGGAUGGACUCGCGGCUUAUCAGCUUGUUGGUGGGGUAGUGGCUUACCAAGGCUUUGGCGGGUAGCCGGCCUGAGUGGGUGACCGGCCACAUUGGUACUGAGAUACGGCCCAGACGCCUACGGGAGGCAGCAGUGGGGAAUAUUGCACAAUGGUCGGAAGCCUGAUGCAGCAACGCCGCGUGCGUGAUGACGGCCUUCGGGUUGUAAACCGCUUUCGCCUGUGACGAAGCGUGAGUGACGGUAAUGGGUAAAGAAGCACCGGCUAACUACGUG